GAUAAGGACAAUACCAUAGAGGUGGUUAGAUAAGGACAAUACCAUAGAGGUGGUUAGAUAAGGACAAUACCAUAGAGGUGGUUAGAUAAGGACAAUACCAUAGAGGUGGUUAGAUAAGGACACUGCCAUAGAGGUUGUCAGAUACAGGACACUACCAUAGAGGUGGUUAGAUACAGGACACUGCCAUAGAGGUUGUCAGAUACAGGACACUACCAUAGAGGUGGUUAGAUACAGGACACUAGCAUAGAGGUGGUUAGAUACAGGACACUACCAUAGAGGUGGUUAGAUAAGGACACUACCAUAGAGGUGGUUAGAUACAGGACACUACCAUAGAGGUGGUUAGAUAAGGACACUACCAUAGAGGUGGUUAGAUACAGGACACUACCAUAGAGGUGGUUAGAUACAGGACACUACCAUAGAGGUGGUUAGAUACAGGACACUACCAUAGAGGUGGUUAGAUACAGGACACUACCAUAGAGGUGGUUAGAUAAGGACAUUAGUGUAGAGGUGGUUAGAUACACGACACUGUCUUUAGGGUGCUUGGAGUGCAGUAGGCCCUAACGAUAGACACUUGAACCUCAACUUUGAUGUGCAGAAGUAAUAUGAUCCACUGUAUAAGCCAACAACAACAACAACAACAACAUGCUUCUGUGUCAUUGUAUUCUUUGACUCAACUCAAGGAUAUGUAACAUAUUAUUGGAGAGGUAAACCUUCUCAUGUGAUGUACAGUUGUAUUUUAAUACACAGAAUCAGCACUACAGUCCCAGGAACAGGACGUGAACCAUCCAAAUCUCUUGUUGUGUACAUUACAGAGUGACGUUACUUAGCAUUCGGUAGUAGUUCUUUAAACAGACACCAGCUUGGUUAACUUAGUGUAAUGAACAACAGUCUAAGGUCUGUGUCCCAAAUGGCACUCUAUCCCCUGCAGUAUGUAGUGCACUAUGGGCCCUGGGCAAAAGUAGUGCACUAUACCCUCUUAGAAUUAGUGGUGACUUGAGGAACCCUGGAGAUCUUCAAGGAACAAUUGGACAUCCUCAAGGAACUCCUGGAGAUCCUCAAAAAAAACCUGCAGAUCCUCAAGGAACCCCUGCAGAUCCUCAAGGAACCCUUGUUGAUCCUCAAGGAACCCCUGUUGAUCCUCAAGGAACCCCUG
Long non-coding RNA from Oncorhynchus tshawytscha (Chinook salmon), 1153 nucleotides. The record is from Ensembl. Lineage: Eukaryota; Metazoa; Chordata; Actinopteri; Salmoniformes; Salmonidae.